Non-coding RNA from Pelobates cultripes (western spadefoot toad), 108 nucleotides. NCBI's taxonomy places the organism in Eukaryota, Metazoa, Chordata, Amphibia, Anura, Pelobatidae. The record is from the annotation of a GenBank genome assembly.
GUAGCCAUUUGGUCACAAACACUGGCCAAAGUUAGCGUUAGUAUUUGUUUGUAUGUGAAAAAUGACAAAAACGCCAAUUUUGGCCAGUGUUUGUGACUAAGUGGCUAC